AGAGUUUGAUCAUGGCUCAGAAUCAACGCUGGCGGCGUGCCUAACACAUGCAAGUCGCACGAGAAAGGGUAGCAAUACCUGAGUAAAGUGGCGCACGGGUGAGUAACACGUGACUAACCUACCUUCGAGUGUGGAAUAACUUCGGGAAACCGGAGCUAAUACCGCAUAACAUCUACGGAUCAAAGCAGCAAUGCGCUUGAAGAGGGGGUCGCGGCAGAUUAGCUAGUUGGCGGGGUAAUGGCCCACCAAGGCGAUGAUCUGUAUCCGGCCUGAGAGGGCGCACGGACACACUGGAACUGAAACACGGUCCAGACUCCUACGGGAGGCAGCAGUGGGGAAUUUUGCGCAAUGGGGGAAACCCUGACGCAGCAACGCCGCGUGGAGGAUGAAAUCCCUUGGGAUGUAAACUCCUUUCGAUAGGGAAGAUAAUGACGGUACCUAUAGAAGAAGCCCCGGCUAACUUCGUGCCAGCAGCCGCGGUAAUACGAGGGGGGCAAGCGUUGUUCGGAAUUAUUGGGCGUAAAGGGUGCGUAGGCGGUUUGAUAAGUUUGGUGUGAAAUCUCUGGGCUCAACCCAGAGUCUGCACCGAAAACUGUCGGGCUUGAGUAUGGGAGAGGUGAGUGGAAUUUCCGGUGUAGCGGUGAAAUGCGUAGAUAUCGGAAGGAACACCUGUGGCGAAAGCGGCUCACUGGACCAUUACUGACGCUGAUGCACGAAAGCUAGGGGAGCAAACAGGAUUAGAUACCCUAGUAGUCC
RNAcentral lists this ribosomal RNA (756 nucleotides) under uncultured bacterium. Its description in RNAcentral is "bacterial SSU rRNA". It matches the Rfam family "Bacterial small subunit ribosomal RNA", at positions 8 to 796 of the family's 1533-position model. The record is from RNAcentral.